This 790-nucleotide ribosomal RNA is filed under the name Neopestalotiopsis rosae. RNAcentral describes it as "LSU rRNA". It matches the Rfam family "Eukaryotic large subunit ribosomal RNA", at positions 108 to 923 of the family's 3401-position model. Lineage: Eukaryota; Fungi; Ascomycota; Sordariomycetes; Amphisphaeriales; Sporocadaceae. The record is from RNAcentral.
CUCAAAUUUGAAAUCUGGCCCUUGGGUCCGAAUUGUAAUUUGUAGAGGAUGAUUUUGGUGCGGUAUCUUCCGAGUUCCUUGGAACAGGACGCCUUAGAGGGUGAGAGCCCCGUACGGUUGAAUGCCUAGCCUCUGUAAAUCUCCUUCGACGAGUCGAGUAGUUUGGGAAUGCUGCUCUAAAUGGGAGGUAAAUUUCUUCUAAAGCUAAAUAUUGGCCAGAGACCGAUAGCGCACAAGUAGAGUGAUCGAAAGAUGAAAAGCACUUUGAAAAGAGGGUUAAAUAGCACGUGAAAUUGUUGAAAGGGAAGGAUUUGUGACCAGACUUUUUCUGGGCGGAUCAUCCGGGGUUCUCUCCGGUGCACUUCGCCCAGUAAAGGCCAGCAUCGGUUUUCGGCGUGGGAUAAAAGCAGUAGGAAUGUGGCUCUCUACGGGGAGUGUUAUAGCCUAUUGUAUAAUACCGCGCUGGGGACCGAGGUUCGCGCUUCUGCAAGGAUGCUGGCGUAAUGGUUAUCAAUCACCCGUCUUGAAACACGGACCAAGGAGUCGAACAUUUGUGCGAGUGUUUGGGUGUUAAACCCUCACGCGUAAUGAAAGUGAACGGAGGUGAGAGCCCUUACGGGUGCAUCAUCGACCGAUCCUGAAGUUUUCGGAUGGAUUUGAGUAAGAGCAUAACUGUUCGGACCCGAAAGAUGGUGAACUAUGCGUGGAUAGGGUGAAGCCAGAGGAAACUCUGGUGGAGGCUCGCAGCGGUUCUGACGUGCAAAUCGAUCGUCAAAUCUGCGCAUGGGGG